Bos taurus (domestic cattle) is the source of this 1556-nucleotide long non-coding RNA. Lineage: Eukaryota; Metazoa; Chordata; Mammalia; Artiodactyla; Bovidae. The record is from Ensembl.
AUCAUGGACUGUAGCCCACCAGGCCUCUCUGUCCAUGGGAUUUUUCAGCAUACGGGAUCUUAGAUCUACAAUCAGGGACCAAACCCAUCCCUCCUGCAGGGGAAGCACAGGGUCUUAACCACUGGAUCACCAGAGAAGUCCUGUAGAAGUUGUGCUCGGCUGAGUCUCAUGGCUAUAGAUGGAGCAAAGGAGCUAAAAUGAAGUAGGAAUUGGAAGAACAGAGGAGAAAAACUGGAUUUUUGCCACCAAUAUUCAUCCUUCACUUACCCUGAAGACCAUUUUCUAAGACGGAGGCAUGGUAGGUCUCCUUAGAAAUAACUGACGAGAUUAAGGAACAAAGAAUACAAGCCAAAUGUCCUGUAAAUCGAGGAGCAAGGCUGUCUGAUCCAAGCAGACACUGUUAUGACAUCCUGUACCUGGAUUCAUAAAAUUCCCUAUGGGAACCACAUAAUUCAGGCCAAGGAUACCUCUGGAAACAUUUGUCAUUUGUUCAGCUUUCAAGAAUGGCUUUGUGUUAGAUUUGCAGUGAGUGGCAUUGAAUAUUAUAGUUUUGGUAAAUGUCGAGAGUAUCAUAAUGUAAAUUGCUUAUUUCAAAAUGACAUUUUUCUGUGCCUUAGUAGCUUCUUAAACUUUCACCAAUGUUAAUAAUUCAAUUUGGAGACAUGUCUGACUGGGAGAGAAUUCUCUCUCCCACGAGUCACUUCAAUCACCUUCCUAGUUGAUGGAGCAAAAGUACCCAUUUCAAAAGUGAGUGUGGAAAUGCAGCAGAGUGAAUGGAAGAACUCGAUGAGAAAGUUGAACUGGAUGCUAGUCUUAGCUCUGUCACUUAGUAUAUAUGUGAUACUGAGUUAUAAAUAGCUGUUCUGCUCCUCAGUGUCAGACUCUGUAUUUAUGAUCCUUCCUACCUCACCUACUUCCUUAGAAAUAAGGUCAUGAACAUGACAUCUCAUUAUACUCCAAGAUGCAACACACGUUUGAGAUGUUACACUUCAGUAUCAAGGUUAAGUGUCAAAAGAACUCAAUAAUGAUGUCAUUCAGAAACAGGAUUUGGAAGGAUAAUGGCUAUGAAAAUAAGAAGGUAAGAGAAUGAUGGUUCAAAGGGAAGAAGCAGCACCUAUAACAGUGUAAGAAUCAGAAGUCCUAAACUGAAAAUCUGCAACUAGGAGGAAACAAAGAUGAGAGGUCUGGAUCCAUCUGUGAUUUUUGUUCCUCUGGCCAAGAACUACAGUAUUAUUUCUUAAGUGAAGCCUGUUGUUGCUUAAGAUUGCCAAAGAGUGACUUACAAGCCCGGGAAGACUUUUCCUAAAAGUCUUUAUUGGUUGACUUUUCUGUAAUGGUUCAGUUCAGUCACUCAGUCGUGUCCGACUCUUUGCAACCCCAUGAAUCGCAGCACGCCAGGACUCCCUGUCCAUCACCAACUCCCGGAGUUCACUCAGACUCACGUCCAUCAAAUCGGUGAUGCCAUCCAGCCAUCUCAUCCUCUGUCAUCCCCUUCUCCUCCUGCCCCCAAAUGGUAAUCAAUUAAAAAUAUUUUUACUUGGGCCCUUGACUAAGAC